This 655-nucleotide long non-coding RNA is filed under the name Homo sapiens (human). Its description in RNAcentral is "HSALNT0296701". The record is from RNAcentral. Lineage: Eukaryota; Metazoa; Chordata; Mammalia; Primates; Hominidae.
UGCAGCCAAAAGGUUCUGACACAACCAGACAGAUGAGGAGGCAUUCGAAUGACUUGUGAUUUCAUCCAAACUGAUUUGCUUGUUCCUACCACAGUGUUUCUCUGGAUCUUUUCAAACCUCUGCAAAGAGUUUAUCCACAUGAUACUCAUUAAAGUCUCAUUUGAAAGGAUAAAGAAAAAAAAAAAAGCCCAAAGCUUUUUGAAAAAGGCAGGGUUAUCUGAGCUGCAAAUACACUGGUAAAAGGAUUUUUUACUUAUAUCUAUUUCUAUUCUCCACUGCCACCCGACUGACUUUUGUAAAUUGAGAUAACAGCAGGCAUUUAAUGGAAUCUGACAUCAAGUAAGAUCAGUCACCUUGCUUUGCCUAAUAGCCCCUUUCCAUACAGUGACAAAGUGACUUCUCAUUAAUUAGCAUUGGAUGUGUGGUGGUCAACACAACAAAUGUUGGGUGCAAAGAAGGAAGCAAGGAGAAACACUAAGCAUAUGGAAGAAAAAACGAAGGGGAAACAGAAAGAUGAGGUAGAAAGCAGAAGGACAAAGUAAACAAUGAUUUGAGAAAAAAAUAUCGGUUAUGAUCUUCUGUGAUAAACUAAUCCCCAUUCCUUCUCUCCAUCUGCCUCAGGAUAAGGAAAUUAAUAUCAUCUUGUAGAUCAUGA